CUGAUCACUAAAUAUAGCUUCAGAGUUUCUCUUGAAUAUUAGGGGCAACGUCCAUAUUCUUCAAAUUUGAACUUGGGUCGCUCACCAAUAUGAAAACAAUUGCACCUCACUGGUUUCUUUUUUGGAGAUUGCAGGAUACCAUGAAUUGGCAAGAGUUAUGGGUACUCUGUUAACAUUUUUUAUGGAGACAGAGGAAAUGCAAUAAAACUUUCCUGUCUUAUACCAUGAUAUUUUCCAGGGACCAUGUGAAUGAGAGACCUGGUUGGAUCUGCUUAGUAGUGAUCGCAAUGCUUCCUCCAUUCUUUUACUUAGCAAUUUGGGCUUCUGUUCAGGUGCAGGUCUGUUAAAUCAGUUUGGAGAAAUCUGCAAUAUCUUUAUUCGAUGGUGGUGAAAGUUCUUUGGAAGCGAUGGGAAUGCUUCAUUGAAGAUUUAUUCAAGUCUGGAGAAAAGGUUGGAUCUGUUUAUUGCCAUUUCCGUUAAUCUUACUUCUCAGCAAAGGAAUUCAUUAAUAUUGUACCUCUCUAUUUAUAUGCUGAUACGUAUUGUUUGCAAGAUUU
Molecule: long non-coding RNA, 557 nt
Organism: Cryptomeria japonica (Japanese cedar)
Lineage: Eukaryota; Viridiplantae; Streptophyta; Pinopsida; Cupressales; Cupressaceae
Exons: 4
Source: RefSeq, a predicted model, not a curated record